ACAAAAAAAAAAAAAAAAAGUACCUGUUGUUCCAAGUAAUGAUUAUCAGUAUUUCUUCUCCAAAAAAUACAUUAAGUCCUACACAAAUUCAAUAUGAACAAGCCACAAUCAAUUACCCACAUUCUCUUAAGCUUGUACCUCUACCUUUUCAAUUUCUGGUUUUGGUUCUUUUUCCUCUGAAGCAGUAGAGUCUGCAUUGCCUUCUGUUCCUGACAAAACAUCAUCAUCCACUACUGGAGGAAUCUUGAACAUAUCAUCAUUUUCCAAAGCUGUGAAUUUCUCUUUUGCUUCUCCUUUCAGUAGCUCGAUAACGUCAAGCAUUGUUGGUCUCUUCUCAGGUCGAUUUUGAGCACAAACGAGAGCAACAAGAACCACUCUUUUGAAUUCUUCCUCCACGUAGUUCCCACUCAACCUUGGGUCUGCAAGUUCACUCAACUUCCCUUCACACACAAGUGGUAGUGCCCAAUCAGUGAUUGUGCGUUUCACAGUUAGAUUGACCUUCUCAAUUGGUUUCUUGCCACUAGCAAGCUCUAGCAAAAGAAUACCAAAGCUGUAAACAUCACAGCUCUCCGAUGCCUUCCCUAACAUUGCAUAUUCUGGUGCAAGAUAGCCUAGAGUGCCUUUUACUCUAGUGGUUACAUGUGUUGCACCAUCUGGGAUGAACUUUGCAAAUCCAAAAUCAGCAACUUGGGCUUGGAAAUCAGAAUCGAGCAGCACGUUGCUUGCUUUGAUGUCUCUGUGGAUGAUA
Molecule: unclassified non-coding RNA, 748 nt
Filed under: Hevea brasiliensis (rubber tree)
Lineage: Eukaryota; Viridiplantae; Streptophyta; Magnoliopsida; Malpighiales; Euphorbiaceae
Source: RNAcentral